CAGCCGCCGCGGGAAUACGUAGGUGGCAAGCGUUGUUCGGAUUUACUGGGCGUAAAGGGCGCGUAGGCGGGCGAAUAAGUCAGGGGUGAAAUCCCAAGGCUCAACCUUGGAACUGCCUUUGAUACUGUUUGUCUUGAGUCCGGGAGAGGUGAGUGGAACUGCGAGUGUAGAGGUGAAAUUCGUAAAUAUUCGCAAGAACACCAGUGGCGAAGGCGGCUCACUGGCCCGGAACUGACGCUGAGGCGCGAAAGCGUGGGUAGCAAACAGGAUUAGAUACCCCAGUAGUCCCUGUCUCUUAUAC
Molecule: ribosomal RNA, 301 nt
Filed under: uncultured bacterium
Lineage: Bacteria
Description: partial 16S ribosomal RNA
Rfam family: Bacterial small subunit ribosomal RNA
Source: RNAcentral